Molecule: ribosomal RNA, 405 nt
Filed under: uncultured bacterium
Lineage: Bacteria
Description: bacterial SSU rRNA
Rfam family: Bacterial small subunit ribosomal RNA
Source: RNAcentral
AGCGAACGCUGGCGGCGUACUUAACACAUGCAAGUCGAACGGGGAUCGUCGGGUUAGCAAUAAUUCGGCGGUCCUAGUGGCGUACGGGUGAGUAACACGUGGGCAACUUGCCCUUGAGACCGGGAUACCCUCUCGAAAGGGAGGCUAAUACUGGAUACGUUCUUCGGAUCGCAAGAUCUGGAGAGGAAAGUGGCGCAAGCUACCGCUCUUGGAGAGGCUCGCGGCCUAUCAGCAGUUGGUGAGGUAAUGGCUCACCAAGGCUAUGACGGGUAGCUGGUCUGAGAGGACGACCAGCCACACGGGAACUGAGACACGGUCCCGACUCCUACGGGAGGCAGCAGUGGGGAAUUUUCCGACAAUGGGCGAAAGCCUGACGGAGUGACGCCGCGUGGGGGACGAAGGCCU